GAGUUUGAUCCUGGCUCAGGAUGAACGCUGGCGGCGUGCUUAACACAUGCAAGUCGAGCGAAGCAUUAAAACAGAUUUCUUCGGAUUGAAGUUCUAAUGACUGAGCGGCGGACGGGUGAGUAACGCGUGGGUGACCUGCCUCAUACAGGGGGAUAACAGACAGAAAUGUCUGCUAAUACCGCAUAAGCGCACAGUGCUGCAUGGCACCGUGUGAAAAACUCCGGUGGUAUGAGAUGGACCCGCGUCUGAUUAGCUAGUUGGUAAGGUAACGGCUUACCAAGGCGACGAUCAGUAGCCGGCCUGAGAGGGUGAACGGCCACAUUGGGACUGAGACACGGCCCAAACUCCUACGGGAGGCAGCAGUGGGGAAUAUUGCACAAUGGGGGAAACCCUGAUGCAGCGACGCCGCGUGAAGGAAGAAGUAUUUCGGUAUGUAAACUUCUAUCAGCAGGGAAGAAAAUGACGGUACCUGACUAAGAAGCCCCGGCUAACUACGUGCCGGCAG
This 505-nucleotide ribosomal RNA is filed under the name uncultured bacterium. Its description in RNAcentral is "bacterial SSU rRNA". It matches the Rfam family "Bacterial small subunit ribosomal RNA", at positions 9 to 514 of the family's 1533-position model. The record is from RNAcentral.